GGGAAGGUAUAGGUUCCGGUGGACCUUCUGGACUUCAAACCCAGUAUGGGGCCGAAAAGCCCUGGGUGGGUUCGACUCCCACACCUUCCCGCCA
RNAcentral lists this transfer RNA (94 nucleotides) under Candidatus Aminicenantota bacterium. RNAcentral's name for it is "Candidatus Aminicenantes bacterium tRNA-Sec". It matches the Rfam family "Selenocysteine transfer RNA". Lineage: Bacteria; Candidatus Aminicenantota. RNAcentral also lists the same sequence under 1 other name. The record is from RNAcentral.